Non-coding RNA from Pelobates cultripes (western spadefoot toad), 951 nucleotides. NCBI's taxonomy places the organism in Eukaryota, Metazoa, Chordata, Amphibia, Anura, Pelobatidae. The record is from the annotation of a GenBank genome assembly.
UAGAGUCACCUUCUGCAGCAAUCACAGCUCCAAGUCGCUUUGGAUAAGUCUUGUGAACAGCAAUCUUUAAGUCUGACCACAGAUUUUCUAUUGGAUUGAGGUCUGGGCUUUGACUAGGCCAUUCCAACACAUUUACAUGUUUCCCCUUAAACCACUCAAGUGUUGCUUUAGCAGUGUGUUUUGGGUCAUUGUCCUACUGGAAGGUGAACCUCCGUCCUAGCCUCAAAUCACGCACAGAGUGAUACAGGUUUUUGCUUAAGAAUAUCCCUGUAUUUAGCACCAUCCAUCUUUCCCUCAACUCUGAUCAGUUUCCCAGUCCGGGCUGCUGAAAAACAUCCCCACAGCAUGAUGCUGCCACCACCAUGUUUCACUGUGGGGAUGGUGUCCUUUGGGUAAUGUGAUAUGUUGGGUUUGCGCCAGACAUAGUGUUUUAUUUGAUGGCCGAAAAGUUCAAUUUUAGUCUCAUCAGACCAGAGCACCUUCCUCCAUACAUUUUAAGAGUCUCCCACAUGCCUUUUUGGCAAACUCAAAACAUGCCAUUUAGUUUUUUGAUGAAAGUAAUGGCUUUCUUCUGGCUACUCUGCCAACUCUGUGGAGCAUACGGCUUAUUGUCAUCCUAUGUCCAGAUACUCCAGUCUCUGCUGUGGAACCCUGCAGUUCCUCCAGGGUUACCUGUGCUGCCUCUCUGAUUAAUGCCCUCCUUGCCCAGUCCAUGAGUUUUGGUGGACGGCCAUCUCUUGGUAGGUUUUCUAUUGUGCCAUGUUCUUUCCAUUUGGUUAUGAUAGAUUUGAUGGUGCUCCUGGGGAUCAUCAAAGAUUUGGAUAUUUUUUACAACCUAACCCUGACUUGUUCUUCUCAACAACAUUGUCGCUUACUUGUUUGAAGAGUUCCUUGGUCUUCAUGGCAGUGUUUGGUUAGUGGUGCCUCUUACUAGGUGUUGCAGCCUCUGGG